RNAcentral lists this ribosomal RNA (468 nucleotides) under uncultured bacterium. Its description in RNAcentral is "partial 16S ribosomal RNA". It matches the Rfam family "Bacterial small subunit ribosomal RNA", at positions 28 to 507 of the family's 1533-position model. The record is from RNAcentral.
GACGAACGCUGGCGGCGUGCUUAACACAUGCAAGUCGAACGGAAAGGCCCUGCUCUUGCGGGGUGCUCGAGUGGCGAACGGGUGAGUAACACGUGAGUAACCCGCCCCUGUCUUUGGGAUAACUUCAGGAGACUGCGGCUAAUACCCGAUAGAAGCUCCUGCUCCAUGGUGGGGGUUGGAAAGUUUCGGCGGUUGGGGAUGGAUUCGCGGCUUACCAGCUUGUUGGUGUGGUAGUAGCUUACCAAGGCUUUGACGGGUAGCCCGCCUGAGUGGGUGACCGGCGGCAUAGGGACUGAGAUAGGGGCCAGACUCCUACGGGAGGCAGUAGUGGGGACUCUUGCAGAAUAGGCGGGAGCCUGAUAAACCAGCGCCGCGAGCGCAAUGAUGCGCUACGAGGUGUAAACCGCUUUCGCAUGUGAAAAAGCCUGAGUGACGGUAAUGGAUAAAGAAGCACCGGCUAACUACGUG